AUUGAACGCUGGCGGCAGGCCUAACACAUGCAAGUCGAGCGGAUGAAGGGAGCUUGCUCCUGGAGUCAGCGGCGGACGGGUGAGUAAUGCCUAGGAAUCUGCCUGGUAGUGGGGGAUAACGUCCGGAAACGGGCGCUAAUACCGCAUACGUCCUGAGGGAGAAAGUGGGGGAUCUUCGGACCUCACGCUAUCAGAUGAGCCUAGGUCGGAUUAGCUAGUUGGUGGGGUAAAGGCCUACCAAGGCGACGAUCCGUAACUGGUCUGAGAGGAUGAUCAGUCACACUGGAACUGAGAAACGGUCCAGACUCCUACGGGAGGCAGCAGAGGGGAAUAUUGGACAAUGGGCGAAAGCCUGAUCCAGCCAUGCCGCGUGUGUGAAGAAGGUCUUCGGAUUGUAAAGCACUUUAAGUUGGGAGGAAGGGCAGUAAGUUAAUACCUUGCUGUUUUGACGUUACCAACAGAAUAAGCACCGGCUAACUUCGUG
This 484-nucleotide ribosomal RNA is filed under the name uncultured bacterium. RNAcentral describes it as "partial 16S ribosomal RNA". It matches the Rfam family "Bacterial small subunit ribosomal RNA", at positions 30 to 507 of the family's 1533-position model. The record is from RNAcentral.